AUCUGGCUCACAUUGGACGUAAGCGGCCAGGCUUAACACAUGCAAGUCGAGCGGGGAAGGGUAGCUUGCUACCUAACCUAGCGGCGGACGGGUGAGUAAUGCUAUAGGAAUCUGCCAUUUAGUGGGGGACAACAUUCCGAAAGGAAUGCUAAUACCGCAUACGUCCUACGGGAGAAAGCAGGGGAUCUUCGGACCUUGCGCUAAAUGAUAGAGCCUAAGUCGGAUUAGCUAGUUGGUGGGGUAAAGGCCUACCAAGGCGACGAUCUGUAGCGGGUCUGAGAGGAUGAUCCGCCACACUGGGACUGAGACACGGCCCAGACUCCUACGUGGAGGCAGCAGUGGGGAAUAUUGGACAAUGGGCGGAAGCCUGAUCCAGCCAUGCCGCGUGUGUGAAGAAGGCCUUUUGGUUGUAAAGCACUUUAAGCGAGGAGGAGGCUACUAGUACUAAUACUACUGGAUAGUGGACGUUACUCGCAGAAUAAGCACCGGCUAACUCUGUGCCAGCAGCCGCGGUAAUACAGAGGGUAGCGAGCGUUAAUCGGAUUUACUUGGGGCGUAAAGCCGUAGCGUAAGCGGCUUUUUAAAGU
Molecule: ribosomal RNA, 587 nt
Filed under: uncultured bacterium
Lineage: Bacteria
Description: bacterial SSU rRNA
Rfam family: Bacterial small subunit ribosomal RNA
Source: RNAcentral